ACACGUAUGGGUGGUGGAGCAGAACAUCUGUGUAUCUGGCUGUCACAGAGCCGAGGGCACAAGUGGAUCCUGACAUUGUGAGAACAGGAGAAAAUGUAACUCUGACAUGUAACUCAGUCUGCCCAACUCAAGUGCCCAUGUGGUACAAAGACGGACAUCCAUUAACCAGACCCGCACCAAUGUUCAGGGUCAAAGCAGAGGAUGCUGGGAAUUAUUCCUGUUCCAUCACUGAUGAGGAUUAGUCCGACCCGGUGUCUCUAGAUGUUCAGUAUCCUCCACUGAAAGUGUGGGUGGACGUGAGUCGUCAUCCUCCUGGAGAGCUGGCAAAGGGCAGCAGUGUAAAUCUUACCUGCAGGAGUUCUGCCAAACCUGCAGCCAACAACUAUACCUGGUACAGGAGAACAUCUGCUCCCAGCUCCCUGCUGCAGGUGGACUCGGGUCAGGUGCUGUCCCUUCUGUCUUUUAGUUCUUCCCUCACUGGAUUCUACUUCUGCAGGGCUACAAACUCACUGGGAGACAAAAACUCUGCUGAGGUGCUUCUGGAAAUCAACAUUUCAAACAG
This is a long non-coding RNA of Thalassophryne amazonica, 562 nucleotides long. RefSeq lists it as uncharacterized. Lineage: Eukaryota; Metazoa; Chordata; Actinopteri; Batrachoidiformes; Batrachoididae. The transcript is spliced from 3 exons. The record is from RefSeq and is a predicted model, not a curated record.